Oryzias melastigma (Indian medaka) is the source of this 2510-nucleotide long non-coding RNA. RefSeq lists it as uncharacterized. The transcript has 3 exons. The record is from RefSeq and is a predicted model, not a curated record. NCBI's taxonomy places the organism in Eukaryota, Metazoa, Chordata, Actinopteri, Beloniformes, Adrianichthyidae.
UACAAACAUUACAAAUGAGAGGAGAGUCUCCCGGAAAUCAGAGGGAAUAUUCCGGAGGGGCAUGCCCGGAGUGAGCCACACUCAAUGUGACAGCCGCAGAACACACAUUAUUAAGGAUUACCAAGAGAAAAGUACCAACCAAGUACCAAGGAUGGUGGAAAUCUAUCUACCAAUGGGUGAGAUCUUCACUGGAGCGAUCCGAUGGAACGACGGCUUCUUCUGUGGCGGACGCCGGCCUUCAUUUGGAGCUGCUGCCUGGCAUCUCAAAUGGAGACCAAAUGGAUCUGGUGGGUGGGAGCUGGCCCGUCUGCUGAUGGCGUCUCUGCUCCGCCUUAAAAAGUUACCCUUGUAAGAGUAACUGCAGGGCACACCGUGAUGGUUUAACAACACAUUACAUCUGACCUGAUGAAGAAAAUCAAUGAACUAACCACUGACUCCACCCAUUACAAUGUAGCAAGAUGGUAAAAAAUGAAAGUACCGAAGUUAAAAUUACUACAAUGAAAUUAUAAUAGACAUUGUAAAACUGUGGAUUUGAAGGUUUUUUUUUUUUUCGUAUCUUGUUUUUGUUACAAGAAUGAGCUCUUUUCUCAAAGUAAAUGAGUAUAAAAUGUUUUUUCUUUUCUCUUCUGGUGAAUCCUUUAUUGUUCAUCCUUAUGCCGUUUGGUUGAAUUUCAAUUGUUUCAAAGUAUGCAAAUGUAUUGAGCUCUAAUAUAUAUAUAUAUAUAUGUAUAUAUAAAAGGUUGAAUGCCCCAAAGUGAGACCUUACCACUCAUUGUGUGUAGAUGAAUCCACCUUCUUUUUUUCUCAUUUUCUAGCCAAACGUAAAUGUCCAGUGUGAUAUCAAACGAGUUAAUCUGAGACGUUUCACCAAGAAGGCUGCCUCUUUGAAUCAAAGCCCGGGUUCGGUUAAUAGGCCCUCCAACUGUUUGGCUCCUGUAAUUCGAGUGUUCACAGGGGACGGCGCUUCACAGCGGCACUCGGAGUCGAAUUAUUAGCUCGACUGAUGAUGGAUUUAAAAGUAAAUCAAGAAAUGGCAUGUUCCAUAAGAGCGCGCCAUCAAAAAGACCAAAGAGGUGUUUGCUCUCUCCGCUCGACUUUCAACUCCCUUUUUAGUCUCCAGGCUCCUUUUUCCUCGGAUCUUUGUCUCUCCAGGAACGGUGCAACAGUAGAGCGCCGCUCUAUGAUUUAUUCAUUGUUGUGUUUUUUUUUUUUUUGCCUUCUCCUUGAAUGUUUUGUGGAGAGGACGGGAAACUUUGAACCGGAGUACAAAGCAAUGUAUAUUUGGGUCUACACAUUUUUCCGUGUGUGUGUGCGCUCGCCUCCGUCUUCUGAGGGUGAGGACGGGGACUGGGUCGGCUCCUCCGCUCGGCGCCGCGCUCGUCCUUGAAGUGGGAGUCAGCGGGGCGCCUCGAUCCGAGAGAGGAGGGAGAGUGGUUGGGAGUUAAAUAAUGGAUGGUAUUGAAAUAAAACAGAGGGAACGGAGGGGAGCCAUUACCUGGGUGCUAAAGACCCAAUCUUGGAGUUGAGGGGUAGUGGGAUACUGACCCUGUUUGGUUCCUGAUAUCAUCACCUGAUGUCACGAUAUUGUUUUUUUUUUUUUUUGCAUCUCACCUGCACGGAAUCAACAUAUUCACACCUGAAAUGAGCUCGCCUCUGAUGAAGGAGGUGUUGAGAACAGUCGUGGAGGGUGUGAGUUAUCCUAACAGGUUAGGAACCGGCAAGCAUCAAGUUGUGAUGAUCAAUCCCAGAUCGGUGGGAAAACAAACAAGCAUGGAGGAGACUUCCCUCAAACGGGACGCUCUUAUCCUUGUCUUUGUUUCCCACAAUGCAAAGCAACACAAUCUCCUUAAAGGCUUCGAAAUUAACAGGCUCGUUCAUACUCGGAAGUCUUGGUAGAAUACUUUGCUGAGACCGUUUCAAGAACAGAAGUGAGGAAACAUGGUCGAGUUCCCAGUUGGGAAGAGAGUAGCUGCUAAUAAGGCGUAGGGUGAGAGGCUUUGGGAAAGCUCCCCGUGGCGCUGGACUGUAAUGGAGAUAAGCGCCGCGGCGUUGCUGUCUCAACAAAGGGAACCGGGGAUGAGAGAUUUGCGGACACAAGCAAGGGCUUUGGCGGCAAAAGCUGAAGGGAGAGAGCUACUCGUCUCACUUCUGUGAAGAACAAUCGUCUCCAGACGAGGGAAAACCGGACCCGGCCCUCUUGCAUAAGUGGAACCAAUCUGGCGAUCCUCAGUAGCGGUAGCCCCGGUUCCUGGUCAGGAGCUGCGAUCCAGAAAAAGGGGUUCAGUUUGCUGCGUUCAAGAGAGAAGAUUUGAGAGUUUCUGGGGGUCUUGAGAAGAGAUUGAUACGUGGUUGGAGAUCAAGAACUUACAGGGAUAUAGUUGGAAAUACAAAGCCAAACAUGUAUUGCUACGUCCCAUCAGACUCUGGAAUUAGGUACUGAGCAUUUGGAUAUCAAUCCGAUACUAGUCAAUAUUGAUAUCAAUAUCAAUACCGAUAUUGGUUGAUAAACG